AUCCCAUGACAAAGACAAGCUAAGAUAUAGUCCUGAAGAUGUUCCCAGGCUUCUGUGACUAAUUCGUCAUGAUUCUGCUGGAAACUCGAGAUACAGUUCUAAAGGGC
This 107-nucleotide small nucleolar RNA is filed under the name Dichanthelium oligosanthes. Its description in RNAcentral is "Plant small nucleolar RNA R71". It matches the Rfam family "Plant small nucleolar RNA R71". From Rfam's summary of the family: R71 is a member of the C/D box family of snoRNAs containing the C (UGAUGA) and D (CUGA) box motifs. Multiple nearly identical copies of this snoRNA have been identified in Arabidopsis, and it is thought to function as a 2'-O-ribose methylation guide for 18S ribosomal RNA. Lineage: Eukaryota; Viridiplantae; Streptophyta; Magnoliopsida; Poales; Poaceae. The record is from Rfam by way of RNAcentral.